UUAAUUUUAUUAAAGAAAGGGUGUGGAAAAUGGAGGAAAGACUACUAUCUCAAGCUAGCAAAGUUCUUUUAAAUGCUAUUGUGCAAGAAAUUUUCACCUUUGGCAUGAGCUACCAUAAGUUACCUAUGGGACUUUGUAAGGACAUCGCGCAAGGUGAUGAUUCGUAAAUUUUGGUGAGGUUAACUGGGAAAUUAUAGGAAAAUUUAUUGGAAGAAUUGAGAAACUUUAUGUAGACCCAAAGCUACUGGAUGUAUAAGUUUUAAGGAUCUUUGCAAAUUUAAUGAUACUAUGUUGGUAAAACAAGUGCGGUGACUUGUUCAUGAUACUAAUUCUCUCUUUUAUAAAAUCUUCAAGGAUAAAUAUUUUCCUAGUAGUAUUGUAAUUGAAGCUAAAGCUACAUCGAGGUCUUAUGAGUGGAAGAACAAUUUGUGAGCUCGAAUUGCCAUGUCCAUGGGAGCUAAAUGGCGGAUUGGUGAUGGGAGAGAUAUUCAGAUUUAUGAGGAUGAUUGGUUACCAGGAAACUAUGGUGGCAGAGUACUGGUGUUACCUAUAUCUCAUCUUCGAAGAAUAGCUAAUGUCUCAAAUCUCAUUGAUACGGAUUCUAAUUGGUGGAACUCGCAACUUCUAGACACUUCCUUUCUGCGUCUCUAUAAACGCUGCUACAGGACCCAAUAUAUAAAAUAAAAUAUAAAAAAAAAAAAAAAAUCCCUGAGUUCUUCGAACACCCUAAGCCACUCUCUGUCUAAGCCCUUCGAAACUCUCUGCUUCAGCGCUUCCAUGGCUCUCCAUCUUUCUACACCGAACCUGCACCGCUCCACCACAUAGACCACCGCGAGCCGCCCGCUGAGAGUCUCCCUCAUUGGCUUCUCUUUGUUCUAGCACAAGCCCAGCCAUGGCCUAAGCCAUACGGCCAGUACCAGUUGUGGUGGGCUUGGUUCCCUAUUAGAGCAAAUGGUAGAGGUGUUGUGUCAACACGUAUCAGAUGAGUCUCCAACUGUUAGACGGCUAUGUUUGAGAGGAUUAGUACAGUAUGGCUUUAUUGCUUGGCUACUCAGCACUUGCGUUGGACUAUUGCUUUCUUUCUUGAGGUGUCCAAGAGAGGAGUAGAACAUAUCGCUUUUCUGUAGAGAGUUUAUGAUAGUUUAAAAAUCUCCUUCGAAGAUGGAACUACCAAGGCCAACUUCUUGGACAAAUAAAGCUGCUAGCCUUGCUGCUAACAGGCCGGUCAAAGAUUUCCACUAAAGAAGGUUUUUCUAUUUUAUUUGACAGAGAUGCCAUAACCUAACCCUGAGAGUUACGGAUAACCACCCUAAUACUUGCUUGAGUUGCUUCCCUAGAUUCUUCAAACACUACACCAUCAAAACUUAUUUUAAAAUUAUAUGUUGACGGAGGCUUCCAUAUCAGUUUAGUAGCUUGGGGUGUCUUCACCAGGUUUGUAUUACCCUUUUUAUAAACUAAGAGAUAUUGACUAGCAUUAACAGCUACUCUAUCCAAAAGCACAACAGCCUCCAGAAGGCAAAGUUCGUUUCUUCUGCUCCAAAGAUCGGGGUUGGUAGUGAAAAAAACCGACCAAAUCACUAAAUGACCCCCUUGAGACUUUAACACGGUCAACCUAGUUAAAGUCACAGUAUAUAGGUAUAUAUAGUAUGUUUCUAGACAUUUUGGAGUGUAAGACAAGAACUAAA
Long non-coding RNA from Quercus robur (English oak), 1685 nucleotides. RefSeq lists it as uncharacterized. Lineage: Eukaryota; Viridiplantae; Streptophyta; Magnoliopsida; Fagales; Fagaceae. The transcript is spliced from 4 exons. The record is from RefSeq and is a predicted model, not a curated record.